Molecule: long non-coding RNA, 872 nt
Filed under: Heterocephalus glaber (naked mole-rat)
Lineage: Eukaryota; Metazoa; Chordata; Mammalia; Rodentia; Bathyergidae
Description: lncRNA (ENSHGLG00100051891.1)
Source: RNAcentral
GCAAUAGAUAGCAGUGAUUCCUUUACUGAUAGUGCAAGUCAUCCUACACAGUAACCCUCCUCUCUCUUGUCUCCCUCACACCAGCCACUAAGGUUUUCAAAGCCCUAAUGACAGCUUCUCAGAGACUAAGUGGACUUUUGACUCAGACCAGCCUUGUGCACUUUGGACAUAGUGGUGAAAGAGACCUGAGAGUUUUGAGUUGGAGUAGAAGCCAGUGAAGAAGUACGUGGAGCAGCCCAUAGCUUCUCCAGAAGCUAGCAGAUGCUGAUGUCGUGCUCUUAGACUUCUAAAACUGCUCAAGAAGGGCCCGAGCUUCAGGAAUGCAGCCACCAGGUACAGAAAUGAUGCCACCAGAUGAGACUUCAGCUCAGAGAGAAAACCAGUCCUUCCAAGCUCAGAGACCUCUUCACUGUCAGCACAAAAGAAACCCAAGGGGAUUCAGGAUAAUUCUGGAACAAUAGCAUGCUACAGGACCAUGGAAUCGUGCCUUUUCCCACCACAGUCAACUGAAACAGGCUGCCCAAGACCCAUGGACCAGUCAGCAAGAUCCAAACCACUCAAACUGACUGAUCUUGCCAUGAGACCAAGGUACUGCCAGAGAUGAUAGCCCUGCUCUAGUCACCUCUAGAAGCUGACUAGUGUAUGCAUGGCAGAAGCCUGAGGAAAUGACAUACCUACCCAGGUCACUCUGGAAGCUGACCAGUAUAUGCAUGGCAGAAGCUUGAGUAUCGUCAUGGAGCUACAACAACCAGAUAAGUCUCUUUUCCUUUCUGUUGUAAUUCUUUUCUUGCUUCAGUCAGGAGGAAAAUCCUUAGAAGAAUGCUCCCACUGCAUUUAUACUAUGUGAUCAGGAAACAUUAUAACAAAGGCCC